UUGCUUAGGUCUAGUUGACUAGCUUUAGCUUUCGAGUUUGGUCGAAUAAUAUUUAAACUAUAAUAUUUGAGAAACUAGUCAAAAUAUAUUUAGCUAGCAAAACCUAAGCAUAUUUCCUUAAAUCAUAUACAGUGUAAAAUAAAAACAUCUUAAAAAAAAAAAAAGAAAAGUUCUAAGAUAAGCGAAUAAUAUUAUUCAUAACAUUUGAAAUUCCUUGGAAGAACAAGUAAUUAGAAUGUUACCAUGGCAACGUCUACGUCUGCGGCCCAAAUAUUGGUUCUAUUUCCUAUACAAUGAUCCAUCGUUCGGAGAGUUCAUGAAGUGUAGUGCAUUCUUUGUUUUAGGAAUAUGUGUGCUGAGACGUCUAGGAAAGGGCUUUCCAAAUCUGUCGGUCCAGUUUGAAAAGCUUCUGCAGUCCUAAGUUAAGUCGUAUGCGGAAUGGCAUUAGGACUACACAAAGUUUAUCUUUUUCCCUUAAUUUGGCAUUGCAAAUUGUGUGAAACAAUUGAGUAUUAUUUUCGUAAAUAAAUUUUUUUAAUGAAAGCUUUUUACACAGA
Long non-coding RNA from Drosophila mojavensis, 557 nucleotides. RefSeq lists it as uncharacterized. The transcript has 2 exons. NCBI's taxonomy places the organism in Eukaryota, Metazoa, Arthropoda, Insecta, Diptera, Drosophilidae. The record is from RefSeq and is a predicted model, not a curated record.